UCCUUGGUGUUCUCCAGCUCAUGUGAAAGCCUCCCUAACUCUUCCCUCAUGAGCGAAAUCUCGGCCUGGUGUUUCUCCUCUACCGCCUGAAGACAUUGUGCCAGGACUUGAUUCACGGCGGACUGCAUCUUCUCCCGCAAUCCGUCUAGGCCCUCCUCGACCCUUUGUUCGAACCACUCGAACCUUUGGUCGGCCUCUAUGAACUUGUCCUGCCCAUCGGCAAUGGCCAACUCCACCUUGGCCAGCCUUGUCUCCAACUCCNN
RNAcentral lists this long non-coding RNA (263 nucleotides) under Nicotiana benthamiana. Its description in RNAcentral is "long non-coding RNA (NBEN_LNC009280)". Lineage: Eukaryota; Viridiplantae; Streptophyta; Magnoliopsida; Solanales; Solanaceae. The record is from RNAcentral.